This is a long non-coding RNA of Triticum dicoccoides, 2429 nucleotides long. RefSeq lists it as uncharacterized. The transcript is spliced from 7 exons. The record is from RefSeq and is a predicted model, not a curated record. NCBI's taxonomy places the organism in Eukaryota, Viridiplantae, Streptophyta, Magnoliopsida, Poales, Poaceae.
CCUUCGACACCUCCGGAGCUGCAGCUUGGCCGCCACCACUCCGCCGCAGCUUGGGGGCAAUACCGCGGGAGGGGUCGUGCCAGCGGGCGCUCCGUGAUGGACGCGAGCAUGGGCCGUUGUCACCGCCUGCUGCUCUCCUCUGCUGCACCAGGAAUGCGAGCUAGGGUCUCCGUCGUCGUUCCUCCAUGAGGCCGGGAAAGCCAACACCGCCGCAGACGGUGUGGGGCUACCCGCCAGCGCUGGUAGCUUCCAACGAGCAUGUGAUGUGCCUGGUCCGCAACGGUCAUGCCCCGCGCUUGCUGCCAAGGUCAAGCAGGAUGAUAUCUCUGUUGUUCUCAUGACAUUUGGGAUGCUUGAAACUUUAUUACCUUUUGAGCGAAGAGCCGCCUUUGUUUUCAGAUACUACCUGCGCAAAAAAUCCCUACCAAGCGUUUGUAGAGAAGCAUAUGGGAGCUAAGAUAGUUAUGAAAAAAGAGACUUUGUUAUUUAUUUAGUACUGAAAUCCAUAACAUGGAUGCUAGAAUCUUUUUUUUGUAUAUAAUUGAACAAAGUGAUUUUUUUCCAGAUCAUAAAUUGCUUGGAAAAAUGUAACAUCGAUGCUAGAAUCCCGACGAGACUAUGGCUGGUGAUGUAGAUUAUUUUGUAUGCUGAUGGUGCCGUGGCGGCUGCAUGGCGGAGGGCUGCACGCUCGACUUUGACAUCGCCGUCCGCAUAUAUGGUGGCGGGCGGGCGGAACCUCUUCGCACUGCUCCCGGAGGCGUCAAGGGCGUCAAGCCCUCUGUCGUGAUCGAAUCGGGCUCCCAGUGUUUCUUUGGAACACUGGAUUCCACUACCACGUGCAAUCAUUUAUUAGUUAUUCCAAUAGGUCACGGACUUUCCACGCGCUCAGACAGCAACAUUCUUUAUCCAAUGGGUGAUGUGAUUUUUUAUCCAUCUGAAUAUUGUGUUAUCAUUUGUUUUAAUUCAAGUGAUAUUACACAAGUAGCUUGCUGGGUAUAUUUUACAAUAGUUACCUUUGGAAAUUUCUUAGAGAUUAUAGAUGGGACAGAGACAACAUUGCAGAUACGUCGCAGCUGGGCACCAUGAUCAUUGCCCCCAUACCUCCUUUUUAUGUUAUGAAGAUAUACAUGUAGGUUUCCUUUUUGGUAAUUUUUGGAGAUCAUAAAUGAUAUUAAUAUUAGAGAAAAGUAUAUUUUUCGUCCCUCAACUCUUGGCAGAGUCUAAGAUUUUGUCCCUCGACUUCGAAACCAGAAAACUUGCACCUCCAACUACUAAAACCGAACAAGGUUCAUCCCUGGACACGGUUUUGACCGGUUUUUGUGCUGACUUUCGCCGGUUUUGAUCCUGUUUUGACUUUUGAGUCAAAUUCACGUACUUUCUUCAAGUCCGUUUAUUUUUUCAGGUCCGCAUACUUUCUACAAAAGUUCAUGAAUUUGAAAGCAGUGCACGAACUUGAAAAAAGUACACGCAUUUGAGAAAAAUACUUGAACUAGAAAAAAGUAUGCGAAUUUGGAAAAUUGCGUGAACUUGAUAAAGUACGUAGAUUUGAAAAUAGUGCGAAUUUCAAAAGGAUAUGUGAAUUUGAAAUUUUUACGUGAACAUGAAAAAGUACAAAUAUUUAAAAAAUGUACAUGAAUUUCAAAAGAUUCACAGAUUCAAAAAAUAUACGCGUAUUUAAGUCAGCACCGGUCAAACCGGGGUGAGUUAGCACCAAAACCACUCAAAGCUGAGACCAGGGAUGAACCUUGUCCGGUUUCAGUAGUUGAGGAUGCAAGUUGUCCAGUUUCGAAGUUAAGGGAUCAAAUCUAGACUCCGCCAAGAAUUGACCGGUUGAGCUGCAAUUUGCAAGGUUUCUUGUGUCUGUGUGUACGAACAGAUCGAAUCAAAUUGAAGUGACUUUGAUUAAUUUCCUUUUCAAAGUUAUUGUUGGGCCAGCUAUUAACCUCUAUAAAACAUUUAUCUUCACUUCUCUUUUGCUGCCAGGAAAUCUGGUGCAAGCCCCACUACAGUUUUAUAUAAAGAUGUUGGAGGCAGCAUCGGAAGAGACAAGUCUGCGGGAAUCUUGUCCAAACUCCACAUCGCUGUCACCGAACAAAGUGGGAGGUGCAAUUGAAAGAGACCAGCCAGAUUCUUCUUCCGGGCAAAACAAUGUGAUGGAUGGUCUAAAAGAUUAUCUGGAUGAAUUCAUCUCCAGGGUAAAAGAAGCCAGGCAAUGUGCAUGACGUUUGAUUGGAAAUAAUGUUACCUUGAAAAUGUACGAGUGCUUUGUUGGCAUCUGACAUUGCAGAAUCAAACAUUGAUGCAUACCUUUGUAAAUUCUCUUGGGGAGAAAAAGUAUAAUUUGCAAGUUGCAACAUUGAUCCCAAAAUACAUGGUGUUCACACAUACCUAUUUUAUGUAGUUUGUGAUAAACCAAAAUGUUCAGUCUU